RNAcentral lists this ribosomal RNA (425 nucleotides) under uncultured bacterium. RNAcentral describes it as "bacterial SSU rRNA". It matches the Rfam family "Bacterial small subunit ribosomal RNA", at positions 115 to 518 of the family's 1533-position model. The record is from RNAcentral.
ACGUGGGUAACCUGCCCAGUAAGAGGGGGAUAACAUACCGGAAACGGGUGCUAAUACCGCAUUAGUUUUUCUUGAUCGCAUGAGUACGGGAAAGGAAAGACGGCCUUUGUGCUGUCGCUUAUGGAUGGACCCGCGGCGUAUUAGUUAGUUGGUGAGGUAACGGCUCACCAAGACGAUGAUGCGUAGCCGACCUGAGAGGUGAUCGGCCACAUUGGGACUGAGACACGGCCCAAACUCCUACGGGAGGCAGCAGUAGGGAAUCUUCCGCAAUGGACGAAAGUCUGACGGAGCAACGCCGCGUGAGUGAAGAAAGGUUUUCGGAUCGUAAAACUCUGUUGUCAGAGAAGAACAAGUUGGAGAGUAACUGCUCCAGCCUUGACGGUAUCUGACCAGAAAGCCACGGCUAACUACGUGCCAGCAGCCGC